UUAUUAUCAGCCCACCCUCAAUUUACACAUGCAAGUAUCAGCACACCCGUGAGAACGCCCUUCACCUUUUCAGGACAAGGAGCUGGUAUCAGGCACAGACUUAAACUCUAGCCCAUAACACCUAGCUUUGCCACACCCUCAAGGGUAUUCAGCAGUGAUUAACCUUGUUAAUAAGCGCCAGCUUGACUCAGUUAGAGGACUUAGAGCCGGCUAAUACGGUGCCAGCCGCCGCGGCUACACCGCUAGGCUCAAGUUGAUAAUACUCGGCGUUAAGCGUGUUUAAAGUACCAAAAGACUAGAACUAAACUUCAACCAAGUUGUGACACACUUGUUUUAAAGAAACCCGAAAACGAAAGUUGUUCUAACCUGACUACUUGAACCCACGACAGCUAGGGCACAAACUGGGAUUAGGUACCCCACUAUGCCUAGCCGUAAAAUAUUAACCUACACCACUUAACCGCCAGGGAAUUACGAGCCCAAGCUUAAAACCCAAAGGACUUGACGGUGUCCCACCCCCCUAGAGGAGCCUGUUCUAAAAUCGAUUCUCCCCGAUAUACCCGACCAUUUUUGGCCUAUCAGCCUGUAUACCUCCGUCGUAAGCUUACCAUAUGAACGACUUAGUGAGCUAAAAGAUUUUUCGUAAAUACGUCAGGUCAAGGUGCAGCCCACGAAAUGGCAAGCAAUGGGCUACAAUUUCUAUGCUAGAACACAACGAAAGGCUGUGUGCAACCCAGUCUUGAAGGCGGAUUUAGUAGUAAAAAGGAAGUAGAGAGUCCUUUUUAAUUAGGCGCUGGGACGCGUACACACCGCCCGUCACCCUCUUCAUAAGUACUAAACAAGUUUUUAACAAGAUUUUUCUAUGCAGAAGAGGUAAGUCGUAACACGGUAAGUGUACUGGAAAGUGCACUUGGAUUAACAAA
This 920-nucleotide non-coding RNA is filed under the name Microhyla sp. 2 VG-2020. RNAcentral describes it as "partial small subunit ribosomal RNA". It matches the Rfam family "Bacterial small subunit ribosomal RNA". The record is from RNAcentral. Lineage: Eukaryota; Metazoa; Chordata; Amphibia; Anura; Microhylidae.